RNAcentral lists this ribosomal RNA (1340 nucleotides) under uncultured bacterium. RNAcentral's name for it is "partial 16S ribosomal RNA". It matches the Rfam family "Bacterial small subunit ribosomal RNA", at positions 28 to 1381 of the family's 1533-position model. The record is from RNAcentral.
GACGAACGCUGGCGGCGUGCUUAACACAUGCAAGUCGAACGGUAAGGCUCCAGCUUGCUGGGGUACACGAGUGGCGAACGGGUGAGUAACACGUGGGUGACCUGCCCUGCACUUCGGGAUAAGCCUGGGAAACUGGGUCUAAUACCGGAUAGGACCGCACCGUGAGGGUGUGGUGGAAAGUUUUUUCGGUGUGGGAUGGGCCCGCGGCCUAUCAGCUUGUUGGUGGGGUAAUGGCCUACCAAGGCGGCGACGGGUAGCCGGCCUGAGAGGGUGGACGGCCACAUUGGGACUGAGACACGGCCCAGACUCCUACGGGAGGCAGCAGUGGGGAAUAUUGCACAAUGGGCGGAAGCCUGAUGCAGCGACGCCGCGUGGGGGAUGACGGCCUUCGGGUUGUAAACUCCUUUCACCAUCGACGAAGGGUUUCUGACGGUAGAUGGAGAAGAAGCACCGGCUAACUACGUGCCAGCAGCCGCGGUAAUACGUAGGGUGCGAGCGUUGUCCGGAAUUACUGGGCGUNAAGAGCUCGUANGUGGUUUGUCGCGUCGUCUGUGAAUUCCGGGGCUUAACUCCGGGCGUGCAGGCGAUACGGGCAUAACUUGAGUACUGUAGGGGAGACUGGAAUUCCUGGUGUAGCGGUGAAAUGCGCAGAUAUCAGGAGGAACACCGGUGGCGAAGGCGGGUCUCUGGGCAGUAACUGACGCUGAGGAGCGAAAGCAUGGGGAGCGAACAGGAUUAGAUACCCUGGUAGUCCAUGCCGUAAACGGUGGGCGCUAGGUGUGGGUUUCCUUCCACGGGAUCCGUGCCGUAGCUAACGCAUUAAGCGCCCCGCCUGGGGAGUACGGCCGCAAGGCUAAAACUCAAAGGAAUUGACGGGGGCCCGCACAAGCGGCGGAGCAUGUGGAUUAAUUCGAUGCAACGCGAAGAACCUUACCUGGGCUUGACAUAUACAGGAUCGCGCUAGAGAUGGUGUUUCCCUUGUGGCUUGUAUACAGGUAGUGCAUGGUUGUCGUCAGCUCGUGUCGUGAGAUGUUGGGUUAAGUCCCGCAACGAGCGCAACCCUUGUCUUAUGUUGCCAGCACGUUGUGGUGGGGACUCGUAAGAAACUGCCGGGGUUAACUCGGAGGAAGGUGGGGAUGACGUCAAAUCAUCAUGCCCCUUAUGUCCAGGGCUUCACACAUGCUACAAUGGUCGGUACAGUGGGUUGCCAGCCCGUGAGGGCGAGCUAAUCCCGCAAAGCCGGUCUCAGUUCGGAUCGGGGUCUGCAACUCGACCCCGUGAAGUCGGAGUCGCUAGUAAUCGCAGAUCAGCAACGCUGCGGUGAAUACGUUCCCGGGCCU